UCUCUCUAGCUGUGGAGAGAGAUGGGCCUGGCUGCCUGGAGCUGAGCAGGGUACCUAGAGUGGCCUUUCCCCCAGGGCUGGGGAAAGGCCAAAGGAGCUGGGGAGCUCCAGGCUGGAAAAACCCCAGGCUGCAGGCCUUAUUAAAGGCCGGGAAAGGGCUCUAACACAGUGCAGACAGCUUGGCCGUCCGUAGCGAUGGAGGAUCUGAGAGUGCCCGAGCUAAUACAGACCCCUCCUGUUUUCCCAUGGGAUGGAAUGCAGCCAAUAUACCUUGUGUUUGAAUGUACGAUGAAUUGUGCAUCCAGUGCUGCCACUCCUCUUGCCUGUCAAUUUGAGGCAGCACAGACCCUGCACGGAGCUUGGGGGUUUGAGGCAAAGCUUGGUAGAAGGCCCAGUGAAAUGAAGGUUUGUGUGUUCAGGAAUGAUCUUCAUCAACGGAGAGUCUUUAUUGUGUUUGAUAUAAUGUCAGCUUUCAUUACGCUCUGAGGGCGCACUGAGAACUUCUGUGUUACAGCACCAACCUUGCUGUCGAACCAUUCUGACUGAAAGUAGAACAAGAAAAUCAUUCACAAAAAAAAGUCUUCGUCCUUUGCUCUUCAAAGCAAAUGGAGGCCCCCUCCUUUCUAAAAAAGAAAAGACUUGGCAAUGUCAUGAGCAUGGCAUAGCAGGAUCUGAGUGACCAGGAGCUUUCUCUCUGGGUGGUUGGUGUGGCAGGAUCCCUUUGGCUUCCCUGUGGGUGGUUGGCGUGGCAAGAGUCUAUAGGCUUUCCCCUCAGGUUUGCAUGGCAGAAGCUCACUGUCUCCCCAGGGGCAGCUGGCAAGGCAAGAUGGGUUGCUGAAAUCAGAAUUAAAGUGAAAUCACCCAAGUUUCAUGUGAGCCAGUCUUGACUUGAUAGAAGUGGAGCAAGAUGCCAUGAUAAGAAAAAUAGUAGGCUAGGCAAGAUCAGAUAAAACCUCUUCUUUCAGAGAUGGAAAAAACCCUGCUGACGGGUCACUCAAAUGUUUCCCCAGUGCAGUCAGGGAGGCAAAGGGAGGAAAUUGCGUGUUUUGUUUUUUUUUUAAAUGCCAAGGCGGAUCAUGACAACUGUUCCUGCCUGUCACUGGUAAUGUAUCUAGCCCCAUGCUGCUGGAGGCAGUACAAAGGAACUCGUAGGCAGAAAGCUACAGGAAGGGCAGGCAUGUUUGCAGCCACACCAGUUAUGCAUUAAUCCAAUAUCUACUCCCACAGCAUUGGGGUGGGUCAGGUGGCAGUUCAGACUAACUGUCAAUGAGAUCAGCUUCAUGGAGGACUUGGGAUGGAUUCAUCACCGCACUACGUGGGAAAUAGAUAUCUGUAGAUAGCCCAGUGACAGAUAAAGAGAUCAGCCUUUGCCAGUGCUUCCCACAGGUUUUCAUGGUGCCUGAAAUCAGAACUUCCUGUCCUUGCGCAGAUACUACUGCAUGAAAGCAGUUGGCUUUUAAUGGGAAAAAAUGUAGAGUUCCAAGAAAAAUAUUCAUCUGUUCCAUAAAUGGAGCCCAGCAUGCCACCCUGGAUUGCCGAGAGCCUCAGAGAGCAGUAUGAUGUUAAUAUCAGGGUCAGACAGCAUUCGCUUCUUGGGCCUUUGCUGGCUUGCAAUCUACCUCAUUUGGGAAGCCGGGGGAAACACCACUUUAGCCAGGACGCAGGUGUCGCAGGAUUAGAUGGAGCUGGAACAGCUACAACAAGAGAACAUUGAAAAUCCCAUGUGCCACAGGUUUGGCAAUAAGCAAUGGGAAAAUGGCCACUGGUGCUCCAAGAUCCCCUUAAAACCUGAAACUAGCCAAUGGGGGCAGAGCCUGGAGCCCAUCCUUGGACGAAGCACUCACUGAUGUCAGUGGGAGUUUGGGUGGGUAAGGACCUCAGGAGUUGGUCGAUGGAAGAAGAUGGGCCAGGUGAGUAGGUAACUUCGGG
Molecule: long non-coding RNA, 1929 nt
Organism: Dermochelys coriacea (leatherback sea turtle)
Lineage: Eukaryota; Metazoa; Chordata; Testudines; Dermochelyidae
Exons: 3
Source: RefSeq, a predicted model, not a curated record